AUGAAAAGAGCAGGGUCUUCUCUAUUUUGGAUUUGGACACUGAUGAUGAAGCUGUGAUAUUCUGAUCCAGGACUCAAUGGCUCCUCCUGGAUCUUCUAACAAGGAUCCUCAUAGCUCAAAAACGAUCAGAGCUCAUUAAUUAUUAACUAACUAGAACUUUUAUGGCUCAUUAGCUACUGGUUAAAUGUCAGGAUUCCAUAUAGUCAGAAUCAUGGAGCAUGCAGCCUCUUUAGGUACAUGAUUAGAAUCCUUCUUUGUUUUCUGAGAAGACCCUUUGUUGGGAAGAAUUGAUGAUCAGGAAUGCAAAUGAGAAUGGCCAAAGGACAGCUAGCUGACUUACAAAAAGAAAAAGAAGAUUCGGUAUAAAGAAGGAGAGAAGGGUGACCAGGGGGCUGCCUUGUGCCUGGGUCUGAAGAGAAGAGGAAGAAAGAGGGGAGUCUGAUGGACAAAGCUCUGUGGAGGACGUGGCACUGAGCAGAAACUUGAAACAGAGCUUGACUGGCUGGCAGGAUGAGAAGAAUGGACUCUUGGCUGAAGGGGAAGCAAGCACAAGCACAUAGAGAUGAGGAAGCAUGGGUGGUGGUAUAUAGGGCUUGGUGUGUUAAUCAAACUGUCAGCAAAGGAAAAAAAAAAGAAGAAGAAGAAAGGGCACAUUCUAUCCAAAUGAAGAAAAAUCUGAGCUU
This 683-nucleotide long non-coding RNA is filed under the name Homo sapiens (human). Its description in RNAcentral is "HSALNT0055287". The record is from RNAcentral. Lineage: Eukaryota; Metazoa; Chordata; Mammalia; Primates; Hominidae.